AUGCCCGGUGGUGGGUUGGCCUUGUCGAUACUUGGGCCUCCCGUAAGCCUAGAAAAGAUCACGGCUGGCCAGUUGCAGUAUAUUGUUGACAAGAUGGCCGACAAGCUCCCCACGUGGCAGGCUAGGAUGAUGGUCAGAGCUGGGAGGCUGGAACUCCACAAAACCACUCUCGCAACAAUGCCAAUCCAUGCUAUGAUGGCAAUUGAUCUUCCAGUCAAAAAAAUUGAAGCUUCCAAUAAGAUUUGUAGAGGCUUCCUAUGGAAGGGGAGACGGGAUGUACACGGUGGACACUGCUUGCUGGCGUGGGAUCAAGUUUGCGCACCAAAGGAGUACGGUGGUCUGGAGGUGCCCAACUUGCGACUGCUCAACACAUCUCUCUGA
This 381-nucleotide ribosomal RNA is filed under the name Triticum aestivum (bread wheat). Its description in RNAcentral is "partial small subunit ribosomal RNA". Lineage: Eukaryota; Viridiplantae; Streptophyta; Magnoliopsida; Poales; Poaceae. The record is from RNAcentral.